UCAGAGAGAUUCUUCAUACCGUAGCAGCGGUUGGGUUGGAGAGGAGCUGCUGCUUGUCCAUGGAGCAGCCGACGGCGCCGGAAACCCUAGCACGGCGCGCGAGUGCUAGUGGCGGGGAAGACUGAAUCCGUAUGGCGGAAGUGAUAGAUCAGCCCGAGACCGAGAGGCGCCCGUGGUCGUGGUCGUGGCCGGACCGCGCCGGAAUC
RNAcentral lists this long non-coding RNA (206 nucleotides) under Hordeum vulgare. Its description in RNAcentral is "long non-coding RNA (HVUL_LNC002419)". The record is from RNAcentral. Lineage: Eukaryota; Viridiplantae; Streptophyta; Magnoliopsida; Poales; Poaceae.